RNAcentral lists this unclassified non-coding RNA (253 nucleotides) under uncultured Moraxellaceae bacterium. Its description in RNAcentral is "contains 16S-23S intergenic spacer region". It matches the Rfam family "Bacterial small subunit ribosomal RNA", at positions 524 to 776 of the family's 1533-position model. The record is from RNAcentral. Lineage: Bacteria; Pseudomonadati; Pseudomonadota; Gammaproteobacteria; Moraxellales; Moraxellaceae.
UACGAAGACUCCAAGCGUUAUCCGAAUUUACUGGGCGUAAAGCGUGCGUAGGCGGCUUUUUAAGUCGGAUGUGAAAUCCCCGAGCUUAACUUGGGAAUUGCAUGCGAUACUGGGAAGCUAGAGUAUGGGAGAGGAUGGUAGAAUUCCAGGUGUAGCGGUGAAAUGCGUAGAGAUCUGGAGGAAUACCGAUGGCGAAGGCAGCCAUCUGGCCUAAUACUGACGCUGAGGUACGAAAGCAUGGGGAGCAAACAGG